UAAUAAGUGUUUUAUGGCACUUUUUAAAUCCAUAUCCACCUUGUGUGCAAUGUUGGUCGAUCUUCUUUUUAUGAGGAUCGACCAAACAUCAACCUUUAUUUUUUAACUCUUUGUCUGAAAAAUAUUAUGAAUAAACAAUUCAAAAUA
Molecule: unclassified non-coding RNA, 147 nt
Filed under: soil metagenome
Description: partial internal transcribed spacer 1
Source: RNAcentral